Hippocampus comes (tiger tail seahorse) is the source of this 549-nucleotide long non-coding RNA. RefSeq lists it as uncharacterized. The record is from RefSeq and is a predicted model, not a curated record. NCBI's taxonomy places the organism in Eukaryota, Metazoa, Chordata, Actinopteri, Syngnathiformes, Syngnathidae. The transcript has 2 exons.
UUGUUUAGAAAACAAAAAAACAACCACAAAAUAGGCAGUAUGGCUGGGUGGAGUAAUCUAAACACCUCGCUGCAGUUUAUUAUGACGUAUGGAGAACAUGGCGUGGGAAGUAAAGAUAAGAGAUACUUUCUGUUUGCCAGUUGAUAAGAGCCCGCAGGGGAUCCCCUUUUUAGUUUUGCUAUUUGUACCGUGUUCAGCUAAGAUCUUAUGGGGUCAUCACUGUUCUAGAAGGGAUAAACAACUCUUAUUCAACCAUGAGCAGCAACUGAUGAGGUCAGCAGCCCACUGUUUGUAGUGACCAUGCAAGACAUGAGCAGGCAAAGCAUGUUUACAGCCCAAAUCACAAGUGAAGUCAGACCACAAGCCUAUGACACAAAGCAAGAUAUUGUGGGUUAUGGCAUUCACUUUUAGUCGAAUUGGACAAAUUUGCUUCAUGUGCAUGUUUUUGUACUCCUCCGGACGGCACUUGGUUUAAAUAAAGGGGUUUAAGAAAUGACAAGUCUGUGUACUUUCAGCCCGAUGUUAAACAGAGAGUGCCACGUAGAGGAG